Molecule: unclassified non-coding RNA, 393 nt
Filed under: Hevea brasiliensis (rubber tree)
Lineage: Eukaryota; Viridiplantae; Streptophyta; Magnoliopsida; Malpighiales; Euphorbiaceae
Source: RNAcentral
AUUCAAUUUUAAAAGAGUGUAACGAGAGUCUUAAUUCGGACACUGCAUGUACUGAUCAAGCUUUAGGCAUAACUUUUUCGUGCUGAAAUUGAUCAAUCUUAGUCAUUAGUGUUGAUGCCCCUGAAUCAGAGCAACUUUAAUCAGAUUCACUUGUUUCCAGUUCGUGCAUCAUUAGGCUAUUAGAGUGGACUGUCUUCAGUUGAUCUCCACUACCAGAUUGGCCAAUGGUGAAGGACUUAAGAGAGAAGGAUCAAACAACAGAAGUUCUUUGGUCAGUGAUUAGGAAUGAUUUGCGAGCCAAUGGCACCUUUGACCGAUAUGCAGUAGUAUGGGUCUCUGUUGUUGUUGCUGCUAAUGAGGUUUAUUUGGUCAGCUCUAGUGUGUCAAAAAGUG